Molecule: transfer RNA, 74 nt
Filed under: Halobacteriales archaeon QS_9_68_17
Lineage: Archaea; Methanobacteriati; Methanobacteriota; Halobacteria; Halobacteriales
Description: tRNA-Asp
Rfam family: tRNA
About the family: Transfer RNA (tRNA) molecules are approximately 80 nucleotides in length. Their secondary structure includes four short double-helical elements and three loops (D, anti-codon, and T loops).
Source: RNAcentral
GCCCGGGUGGUGUAGUGGCCCGUCAUACGACCCUGUCACGGUCGUGACGCGGGUUCAGAUCCCGCCUCGGCGCU